This 429-nucleotide ribosomal RNA is filed under the name Pseudomonadota bacterium. RNAcentral describes it as "Proteobacteria bacterium partial 16S ribosomal RNA". It matches the Rfam family "Bacterial small subunit ribosomal RNA", at positions 355 to 776 of the family's 1533-position model. The record is from RNAcentral. Lineage: Bacteria; Pseudomonadati; Pseudomonadota.
UGGGGUAUAUUGGACAAUGGGCGAAAGCCUGAUCCAGCCAUGCCGCGUGUGUGAAGAAGGUCUUCGGAUUGUAAAGCACUUUAAGUUGGGAGGAAGGGCAGUAAGCGAAUACCUUGCUGUUUUGACGUUACCGACAGAAUAAGCACCGGCUAACUCUGUGCCAGCAGCCGCGGUAAUACAGAGGGUGCAAGCGUUAAUCGGAAUUACUGGGCGUAAAGCGCGCGUAGGUGGUUCGUUAAGUUAAAUGUGAAAGCCCCGGGCUCAACCUGGGAACUGCAUCCAAAACGGGCGAGCUAGAGUAGGGCAGAGGGUGGUGGAAUUUCCUGUGUAGCGGUGAAAUGCGUAGAUAUAGGAAGGAACACCAGUGGCGAAGGCGACCACCUGGGCUCAUACUGACACUGAGGUGCGAAAGCGUGGGGAGCAAACAGG